Long non-coding RNA from Triplophysa dalaica, 1958 nucleotides. RefSeq lists it as uncharacterized. The transcript is spliced from 4 exons. The record is from RefSeq and is a predicted model, not a curated record. Lineage: Eukaryota; Metazoa; Chordata; Actinopteri; Cypriniformes; Nemacheilidae.
GCAUGCGCAUUGUAACGAUCACGAGGUUGGCGCAUGUGUAAUGAAGCGCGCGCCAACGGACAGAUUCAGACUGCUGGACGGAGACAUUUUAGCAUCUUCGUGCGAGACUAAUGGAUCUACUCACAGCCAACGUGUUUCUGCUCAAAGCCAUCGUUUUAUGUAAGUAAUAAGUAGGCUAUAUGCAUUGAAGUAUUUUGUAAAAGUAGCAUGUAUCUGCUUGAUCGCAGAGCCGUGGUACGGCUAGUUAUGCACUGUAUAAUUUUUUUUGCCACGAGGAUGCUUAACUUUUAAGUCUCCCAACUUCAGCAAAUAGCAUGUUAAAAAUUUAGAAUAGAACCUGAGGCAAUCGUGGUAAGUUAAGUUAAGAACAAGUUUGUUUAUUUCAAAGUAACUUUGACGUUAUUGCACUGACACAUUUACUAUUUAAUUUGGCAAUUUUUGCAGUACACAAAUAUAAAGAAAUAUUUUAAAGUCGACUCUUUAUCUUAAAUUUAAAUUCACACACGCUACAGUGGCCUAAUAUUAGAAUUUUUACGUUUCAGACUGAGAUCAGAGGCAAUAAACAUCUGCAAAAAAAAAUUCCUGUGUCCUUCGAAGCCUGGCUAGGCUCUCACGUGUUUUGCAGACUACUCGACGGUGUCGACAAGACUGCAAUCGUCUCAUUUAAAAUAUGCAAUGAGUUCAAACGCAUCACUAGUGUGGACCUCCUCGAGACAUUCAGAGCAUCAAUACACCAGCACACUCCGCAACUCCUCAAGCUAUACAGAGCAAGAAAGGGGGCAUUUGGAACAGAAAUGGAAGAUCUUCUCAACAAGCUUGAUCAGCAGACCACAAAUAUUGUGACUCACAGAAAGCACACCGUCCUGGAAGGUCUCCCCAUGUUUCUACGAGAAGAUUCCUCUGUACUUUUUAAAACAUGGACAAGACUCCAGAGGACAGAUAGACCAGAGGGAUGAAGGUGGGAAUCCUUAUUGUAAUUGAAGAUGAUGCCCCCCCAGCACACUGCCCAGUGUCACAAAAUUUGCUGUUGUGUUGGAGGAGGUAUUGUACUGAGAGAUGCUCCAGACUUGCAGUCUGCACUUGCAUACCUGUUUGGCCCUCUGUUUGCCUUGGACUUUGAGUACCCAAAGCAACUGAAAUACACUUUUGAGAUUAUUGAGAAAGUGUUUAUGGAGAUGGGCACUCAUUGCUCUGCUAGGGUACAGACCCUCAAAACUAAGCUAUUACUUUGAGAUGCAUUUGUGAGAUGUUUGUAUCUUACAUUUAAGAUGCAAGUAGAUAGUUUUUUUUUUUUUGCAAUUUGCUUGCAUUUUGUUUGACUCAUUUUUGUUUAAACUGUUAACUUGAGGUUGUGAUAAACAUUGGUGCCACUGUUUCAGCACUUACAGCACAAACGUUAACUUGCACUUAUGGUAUAAAGCUGCUCAGUUGUAACAUAUUCAGUGUUUACAAUUUAAAAUGUAAAACAUUUAAAAGAUAGAACAUUUAAAGUAUUUAUGACCAGUUGAAUGUUAACACUUUGAAUGUAAAAGUACUCUUUAAAAAAAAAUAUUCUUCUGCCCUACUCUUUUUUUAUCUCUUUUUUAAGGAUAAGGAGUAUGGCUAAAGUGGUAAACAUUGUUUGUUUUUUCCAUUUCCUGCUGGUUUAAAAUAAAAACCUGGACCAAAAUAUCAAGCCUGUAGUAUCUUAAUUUUUUAACCUUGUAAUCAACAUCUUUAGUCAACUGAACAUACUUUAUUAAGUCAAGUGAAAAUAACAUUAAAAGUUGAAAUUGUAUAAUUUUGUAAGUUUUUUUAACUAUAAAAACUCAAUCAGCUGAACAAAAGAUUUUAAAUUGGUAAACAUGUGACUUUACUCAGUGAAUUAAGUUAAGUGAACUACUUUGUUUAAAAGUUGAGUAAACUCAAAAAAGCUGUGCAGCAAGUUGCCUUACAAUUUUAAGUUAUGUCAACUUUAA